AGGGCCUGCAGUGGAAGCAUGUCUGGCAUCCACUGCAGCACAAUCUGCUUAAUUCUGAAGGCCAUCUGUUCGCUGGAUAUGCAUAUCUUUUUUACACCAGAAUGCUCUGCACGGGGACCUCUGAGGCACCUAUGCUGCUGUUCCCAGAGGCUUAAGGACAAGCUGUGGGACAUGUGAGCGUCUGGGCUGAUUGCAUGAUGUUUAUGAGACCAACUUUAAAGGUUACUUCCCGAGGAUGUCUCCCCUGGCCACCCGGUAUAAAGCAGUCACGCAGGCACUCCAUCCUGGCAGCAAUCUCUGCCUGAUAUGUUUGUGCUCGUGAAAAUGCAAGCACCUUGAGACGCAGGGACUGCAUCUGCCCUUUUUGCUGCACCGUUACCAGCACCUAGAGU
This is a long non-coding RNA of Pteropus alecto (black flying fox), 392 nucleotides long. RefSeq lists it as uncharacterized. The record is from RefSeq and is a predicted model, not a curated record. The transcript is spliced from 3 exons. NCBI's taxonomy places the organism in Eukaryota, Metazoa, Chordata, Mammalia, Chiroptera, Pteropodidae.